Molecule: non-coding RNA, 1538 nt
Organism: Pelobates cultripes (western spadefoot toad)
Lineage: Eukaryota; Metazoa; Chordata; Amphibia; Anura; Pelobatidae
Source: the annotation of a GenBank genome assembly
GUUAGCAUGGUUAGCCUUUUUGUUCAAGUUUAAUGGAUGGGAGGAUGUCACGAAACAUUUUCUCGUUAGGCAGGCAUUGAAAGGUUUCAGGCGGGGUAAGGUGUCGGUGGAUUCCAGGAGGCCGGUGUCGUUCGAGUUGCUUCAGCGGGUGGUCCGGGUGCUGCCCGAGGUGUGUUUUUCGGGGUACGAGGUUACACUCAAAAAGAUAAUUUAUGCUGGCACUCAAUCACAUAGGUGGUGCUGGUAUUCGAGGUUAUCCCUACAAAAGCCCCAAAAAUAUCAUACAAAAAAUAUAUAUGAAUACCGCACUCAAUGUUGUAAAAUAAUCAACCGUAGGUACAGAAGUGCUAUAAUUGAGUUUAUUAUGUUCAAUUCUUAAAUGUAUAGUUAUAUAACUUAAUAUGUGAGAUUAUGAUUUGAUCAAAAGAAUAUAUUACAUCAUAUAGUCAAUCGCUAUUUACACAAAUAACCUCCAUAGGUGUUAUAUAAAUAAAUAAUUAAUGUAUAAACACAGUUGUAAGUAUUUCUGUUUGCAAAACUAAGGAGAACCUAUCCAUAUGGAUAAUAGUCGAAUCUGUGGUGUUCUAUGUACAUAGAAAAAAGAAAAAAGAAAAAAAGAGAAAAAAGAAGAAAAACUGAAAAAAAUUUACAAAAAUGAUGAAAAAAUUGAAAAAAUAUGUAAAAAAUAUACAGAUAAUAAAUGUCCUGAUGUACAAUAGUCCAGAGAAUAGUGCACUUUUAGAUAAUAAAUAGGUGGAUCUCACCAAGUUGGAUAUCCAGAUGGAUUGUAUCUGGGCCCAAGUACUGUGACGACACCUUGAGGGAGACAUACGAGGAUCACAUCUGACACCUUCAUUGAGUCCUCUUUUCAACGCACAGCAGGAAUUCAGCAGGUUUAAAAACCCUCCAAUAGACACUUUUCCAUUCUUCACAGAGUCUUCAUUUUUUCCAGUUGCUACUAAGGCUACAAUCCAUCUGGAUAUCCAACUUGGUGAGAUCCACCUAUUUAUUAUCUAAAAGUGCACUAUUCUCUGGACUAUUGUACAUCAGGACAUUUAUUAUCUGUAUAUUUUUUACAUAUUUUUUAAAUUUUUUCAUCAUUUUUGUAAAUUUUUUUCAGUUUUUCUUCUUUUUUCUCUUUUUUCUUUUUUCUUUUUUCUAUGUACAUAGAACACCACAGAUUCGACUAUUAUCCAUAUGGAUAGGUUCUCCUUAGUUUUGCAAACAGAAAUACUUACAACUGUGUUUAUACAUUAAUUAUUUAUUUAUAUAACACCUAUGGAGGUUAUUUGUGUAAAUAGCGAUUGACUAUAUGAUGUAAUAUAUUCUUUUGAUCAAAUCAUAAUCUCACAUAUUAAGUUAUAUAACUAUACAUUUAAGAAUUGAACAUAAUAAACUCAAUUAUAGCACUUCUGUACCUACGGUUGAUUAUUUUACAACAUUGAGUGCGGUAUUCAUAUAUAUUUUUUGUACGAGGUUACACUGUUCUCCAUGGUUUUUAGUUUUGCUUUUUUCGGGGCAUUUCGUGUCAGCGAGCU